RNAcentral lists this ribosomal RNA (439 nucleotides) under uncultured Oscillibacter sp. Its description in RNAcentral is "bacterial SSU rRNA". It matches the Rfam family "Bacterial small subunit ribosomal RNA", at positions 338 to 792 of the family's 1533-position model. The record is from RNAcentral. Lineage: Bacteria; Bacillati; Bacillota; Clostridia; Eubacteriales; Oscillospiraceae.
CCUACGGGAGGCAGCAGUGGGGAAUAUUGGGCAAUGGGCGCAAGCCUGACCCAGCAACGCCGCGUGAAGGAAGAAGGCUUUCGGGUUGUAAACUUCUUUUAAGAGGGAAGAGCAGAAGACGGUACCUCUAGAAUAAGCCACGGCUAACUACGUGCCAGCAGCCGCGGUAAUACGUAGGUGGCAAGCGUUGUCCGGAUUUACUGGGUGUAAAGGGCGUGCAGCCGGGUCUGCAAGUCAGAUGUGAAAUCCAUGGGCUCAACCCAUGAACUGCAUUUGAAACUGUAGAUCUUGAGUGUCGGAGGGGCAAUCGGAAUUCCUAGUGUAGCGGUGAAAUGCGUAGAUAUUAGGAGGAACACCAGUGGCGAAGGCGGAUUGCUGGACGAUAACUGACGGUGAGGCGCGAAAGUGUGGGGAGCAAACAGGAUUAGAUACCCCAGUA